Long non-coding RNA from Oxyura jamaicensis (ruddy duck), 1131 nucleotides. RefSeq lists it as uncharacterized. The transcript has 4 exons. The record is from RefSeq and is a predicted model, not a curated record. Lineage: Eukaryota; Metazoa; Chordata; Aves; Anseriformes; Anatidae.
ACAUGCCAACCUCAGUCAGUUUCCUCAGCUCCUCUGUCCUCCUCGAAGUUGUUGUUUUCUGCAUUCCUGUGUCAUUUCUCACCUUACUUAUAUCACUUACCAGUUCAAGCUCUCUUGGAAAUGUUCCUUCAACAUUUGCAUGCACGUUAACAAUUAAAUGCUAGGAGACACUUCUUCCUAUGUGUAAAGGAGUGACUGGUUUCCUUCCCAUUCUGGACCAGCAGCAGUGUCCUAAAUUAUUUUGUCCAAGGUCCUCGUAAAGAGAAACAGGAAUCUUUGUUCCCCCUUUCUUAGCAGAAGUCUUAGCUACUUGCAGUCACAUACAGACAAGGAAUAGGACAGUAAAAUGGCAAAAGGAGCUGGUAAAAGGCCGGUUUACUUAGCCUGUCAUAAUUCAUAAUUCACUGUUCCCUUUGAAGGCUGAGGGAGCUUUACCAGCACCCUUUUUGAGCAGCUUCGCAGACUGACAGUGGAGAGGAGGGGAGUGAGGGCGAACUCCAGCAGGGUUUGGAAGCUGUGAAAUUGCUGAGAAAGAAAGAGAACAAGUUGUGUUGCCUCCUAGGGGAGCAGCCAGCCAGGCUGCUGGCACCAGGACUGCUGUGACCCAGCACUCCGCUGACAGGCGAGCAUCCUUCCCACGUCACUAAACCCCAUCCCUUGCCAACUUCCAGCAGCACCACAGAGCCCCUGGGCUGUCGAGGUGAAACUUUUACACAUGGGAAGUGGGACAGCAUGAGUAUGUGCUACUACCCAGCUGGCUGAAAAGACCCAGGAGCGAGGCCAUCCUGAGCAGCCCUGUGGCUUCAGCAGGUGGCACUCUUCCCUCUGCAUCCUGCCCACUGCUCCCAGGUCUCUUCUCCUCCUGGAGGUGUUUUUCUUUUGGCUAAGGAAUAAAGGUGAAGUUCUGGCCACUUGUGGUCAUUUAAAACACCGCGGUGUUUUUCAAAAUGUAAGGGUGCUGGCCCAGGUAUCCCUGCCAAAUUGCAGCCUGGGUAGCGUCCCACCAGCCCGCGGCUCCACUGGUGACUGCGCUUAGAUGUGAUUUAUUUCUUCACUUCCUGUCCUAAAGGAACACCCACGGAGCUGGGAAAGCCAGGCACAGGCAGCACACUGGGGCUUCUGGUGCAAAGG